UUAGUGGCGGACGGGUGAGUAACGCGUGGAAAACCUGCCGUAUACUGGGGGAUAACACUUAGAAAUAGGUGCUAAUACCGCAUAAGCGCACAGCUUCGCAUGAAGCGGUGUGAAAAACUCUGGUGGUAUACGAUGGUUCCGCGUCUGAUUAGCUAGUUGGUGGGGUAAUGGCCUACCAAGGCAACGAUCAGUAGCCGGCCUGAGGGGGUGAACGGCCACAUUGGGACUGAGACACGGCCCAAACUCCUACGGGAGGCAGCAG
RNAcentral lists this ribosomal RNA (262 nucleotides) under uncultured bacterium. Its description in RNAcentral is "partial 16S ribosomal RNA". It matches the Rfam family "Bacterial small subunit ribosomal RNA", at positions 92 to 354 of the family's 1533-position model. The record is from RNAcentral.